This 72-nucleotide transfer RNA is filed under the name Loxodonta africana (African savanna elephant). It matches the Rfam family "tRNA". Rfam says of the family: Transfer RNA (tRNA) molecules are approximately 80 nucleotides in length. The record is from Rfam by way of RNAcentral. Lineage: Eukaryota; Metazoa; Chordata; Mammalia; Proboscidea; Elephantidae.
ACCCUGGUGGCUCAAUGGUUAAGCCCUCGGCUGCUAACUGGAAGGUUGGUGGUUUGAAUCCACCCGGUGGCU